Molecule: ribosomal RNA, 453 nt
Filed under: uncultured Methanomicrobiales archaeon
Lineage: Archaea; Methanobacteriati; Methanobacteriota; Methanomicrobia; Methanomicrobiales
Description: bacterial SSU rRNA
Rfam family: Archaeal small subunit ribosomal RNA
Source: RNAcentral
CAGGUGGAGCCUGCGGUUUAAUCGGACUCAACGCCGGGAAACUCACCAGAUAAGACAGCUGAAUGAUAGUCGGGCUGAAGACUCACUUGACUAGCUGAGAGGAGGUGCAUGGCCGUCGUCAGUUCGUACUGUGAAGCAUCCUGUUAAGUCAGGCAACGAGCGAGACCCACGCCAACAGUUGCCAGCUCGUCCUCCGGGAUGGUGGGGACACUGUUGGGACCGCCUCUGCUAAAGAGGAGGAAGGAAUGGGCAACGGUAGGUCAGCAUGCCCCGAAUUAUCUGGGCUACACGCGGGCUACAAUGGGUGGGACAAUGGGUAUCGACACCGAAAGGUGAAGGCAAUCUCCUAAACCCAUCCGUAGUUCGGAUUGUGGGCUGCAACUCGCCCACAUGAAGCUGGAAUCUGUAGUAAUCGUGUCUCAAAAUGGCACGGUGAAUAUGUCCCUGCUCCUU